This 254-nucleotide ribosomal RNA is filed under the name uncultured bacterium. RNAcentral's name for it is "partial 16S ribosomal RNA". It matches the Rfam family "Bacterial small subunit ribosomal RNA", at positions 524 to 776 of the family's 1533-position model. The record is from RNAcentral.
UACGUAGGGUGCGAGCGUUAAUCGGAAUUACUGGGCGUAAAGCGUGCGCAGGCGGUUCGUUGUGUCGGCGGUGAAAGCCCCGGGCUUAACCCGGGAAUGGCCGUCGAAACUGGCGAACUGGAGUGUGGCAGAGGGGGGUGGAAUUCCGCGUGUAGCAGUGAAAUGCGUAGAGAUGCGGAGGAACACCGAUGGCGAAGGCAGCCCCCCUGGGCUGACACUGACGCUCAGGCACGAAAGCGUGGGGAGCAAACAGG